This is an RNA transcript of Oncorhynchus kisutch (coho salmon), 5297 nucleotides long. It is a transcript of the gene named heterogeneous nuclear ribonucleoprotein A3, with no coding region annotated. The record is from RefSeq and is a predicted model, not a curated record. The transcript is spliced from 11 exons. Lineage: Eukaryota; Metazoa; Chordata; Actinopteri; Salmoniformes; Salmonidae.
GGUUCAUUAUGGUAAAACCGAUCCUGGAUCAGUUAACGACUGCACGACCAGUUCAGACUUCCUAUCACGUGGUGCAGUAGCUUCCUUUCUUCUCAGAACCAAGGAAAGAGAAUACUUCGCAAAAUGGAGGGUCAUGAACAUAGGGAGCCUGAACAGCUCAGGAAGCUGUUCAUUGGGGGCCUAAGUUUUGAAACCACUGAGGAAAGUUUAAGGAUCCAUUUUGAACAAUGGGGAAACCUCACAGACAGUGUGGUAAUGCGGGACCCAAACAACAAGCGCUCGAGAGGGUUUGGCUUUGUAACAUACUCCUGUGUGGAGGAGGUGGAUGCCUGCAUGGCAGCUCGCCCUCAUAAGGUGGACGGACGUGUUGUUGAACCUAAAAGGGCUGUAUCGAGAGAGGACUCUAACAGACCGGGUGCCCACCUGACGGUGAAGAAGAUAUUUGUUGGGGGGAUCAAGGAGGACACACGGGAGGACCAUAUCAGGGAGUACUUUGAGACCUACGGGAGGAUCGAGACCAUUGACAUUAUGGAGGAACGCGCAACUGGGAAAAAGAGGGGAUUCUGCUUUGUCUCAUUUGAUGACAAUGACACUGUGGAUAAAAUUGUUGCUCAGAAAUACCACACAAUAAACAGCCACAAUUGCGAAGUCAGAAAAGCCCUCCCAAAACAGGAAAUGGAGGCGUCCAAUCAGAGGAAUAGGGGUGGUGGCUCUGGAAACUUCAUGGGCAGAGGUGGUAACUCUGGUGGUGGCAACUUUGGGCAAGGAGGCUACGGUGGCGGAAGAGGAGGGGAUGGAUACAAUGGAUACGGUGGAGAGGGUGGAAACUACAGUGGGGGACCUGGCUACAGAGGUGGACGUGGUGGCGGGUAUGGGGGAGGAAGUCCUGGGUAUGGUAACCAGGGAGGAGGCUUUGGAGGAGGAUAUGAUAACUACAAUGACAGAGGCAACUUUAGAGGGAACUUUGGUGGUGGAAGGGGUGGAAAUUACAAUGACUUUGGCAACUACGGAGGACCGCAAUCUAGCUAUGGUCCUAUGAAGGGGAACAACUUUGGUGGCAGAAACUCUGGUGGUGGCCCCUAUGGAGGUGGCUACGGCUCAGGCGGUGGAAGUGGGCAUGGCUACGGCUCACAGCGAUAUUGAUACUAUGACGCUCGGGUAAGUUCCGUUUGAAAACACUGAGCAUACCUGACUGUAUAGUACAGUGUGAGCCCACGCAACACUAGAAUAACUAUUUGUUUUAUCCUGUAUCCAUUCAACAGGCUUCAGUUCUUAGCAGGAGAGGAGAUGAGCAAGGAUUUGUCAGGAAAGCUGCAGGUUACUGUACUUUUAGGCAGUCGUCUGAAAGCAUGUAGAGGAACAGAAGUCAGAAAGUUAUUGCAGCUUUAAUGGGAAACUAAUCCUAAGAAAGACUGUACACACAAACUAUAAAGUGCAAGGGUGUAGCUAGUACCUUAUUUGUGGUAGAUGUUCCCCCACUUUAUAAUUGUUCCUUUUGUGCAUCUGAAGUGUAUGUAUUGUUGUGCCUGUGGAAUCAGGAGUUAAAAAAUAAAUAAAAAAGUAUUUCGAACUCCAGUCAGUUUUGAAUAGUCCUACAUUUAUUUUGUUGUAGAUUGAUAGAUUUUCUAUGGUCUUCUCAUCUUUGUCGUUUUUGAAGAACUUGGUCCUGUCAGAAGGGCCUAUACGCAUCAGGCCCUCAAAUAAGCUAGAGCUGUCUUUUUUUCUUUUGAAGUUAAUAUGAUUGCAAGUCUUUGUAUCAAGUGUAUUAUGAUCUGUAUUUCAAGAACCCCAUGUAUUUUAUUAGUGACAAGUGGUUAUAAGUAGUGCAGACAACAAUUUUAAGGAAAUGUGUUUUACACUACUUGUAUGCAGUAAACAGAAUUCUAGAUUGUAAAAAAUAUUUUGACAAGUGGAAAAAAGUUUAAUAAAGUUGUGUAGUAAAGUCUUUUGAAGUAUAGUGCAUCAUUGGCUCAGAGAGAUUGAAGGAUUUGAUUCUUGUCAUGUCCGUCAUCACUAAUCAAGUGUAGCAAAUCAAUAUCCUCAGAAGUAUGUUUUGUUUUCUCUGAACUUUGAAAGAUUCAUUUUUUCCCCUGCCUGGAUGGAAAGGGAGUCUUGGCUAGUCCUAGGGCGAGGGACACGCAUCGCCUAGCCAGGAUUGCACUAGUAGGAUUGUUACAGCUACAAGCCACUUCAGUUGGGCCUCAGCGGGUCAGUAUGGAAGAUUGCAGAGUGUUUUUUCAGACAGGACCUCUUCGGUCCCAGCACAGUGGACAUGUCAGCAUGUUGUGAGAAAAAAGAGAAGGCAGCACCGAGAGCCACACCCUUGGAGGAAAGCAUAUUCUAGCAAAAAAAGUAACUAGAGUUCCUGGACACUUAGAGAUCCUGUUGAGUUAGAUAUGGCAGUUUACCAGGAAGUUCUUACUAGCUUUCAGACCUUACAGGGGAAAGGGAAGUGAGUAUUUCACAAGCAGUGGUAACAUAAAGAAGAUGCAGGUAAGAGUAACCACUUUGCUUGGUUUACAGAUCGUGAAAGAAGCAUUACGACUACUCUUAAAGGCUGAAAAUCUAAUGACACGAUUACAUGGACAUUUCUGGAUGGCCUCAAAGCCUCCGAAAAGAUUGGUUUGAGAGAGGGCGGAGAAAGAAGGCUUGGCGUUCAAAGGUAAUGUAUGUGGGUGAAAGGGCCUGGAACUGCAAAUACUACAAUGUGCAGUGCUGUGCUUUUUUCCAACGUGUUUGUUCACUGGACCUUUUUGAAGUCGUCAUGCAUGGUUCACAUGAAGUGUAGCUGAAUAAUGGAGGUAACUGUUAUAGACCUGAAUAAAUGCAGUUGGAACCAGAGCCGUACAAUGCAUUCAUAAAGUAUUCAGACCCCUUCACUUUAUCCACAUUUUGAUACGUGACAGCCUUACUCUAAAAUUCAUUAAAUUGCCCCCCCCCCCUAAUUUACACGCAAUACCCCAUAAUGACAAAGCUAAAACAGGUUAAGACAUUUUUGCAAAUGUAUUUUAAAAAAAACGUAUCACAUUUACAUAAGUAUUCAGACCCUUUACUCUGUACUUUGUUGAAGCACCUUUGGCAACGAUUACACCCUCGAGUUUCUCCCAUUCUUUGCAGAUCCUUAAGCUCUGUCAGGUUGGAUGAGGAGUGACGCGGCACAGAUAUUUUCAGGUCUCUCCAGAGAUGUUCGAUCAGGUUCAAAUCCGGGCUCUGGCUGGGCCACUCAAGGACAUUCAGAGACUUGCCAAAGCCACUCCUGUGUUGUCUUGACUGUGUUCUUAGGGUCUUUGUCCUAUUGGAAGGUGAACCUCUGCCCUAGUCUGAAGUCCUGAGCACUCUGGAGCAGGUUUUCAACAAGUAUCUCUUUUUACUUUGCUCCGUUCAUCUUUCCCCCGAUCCGGACUAGUCUCCCAGUCCCUGCCUCUGAAAAACAUCCCCACAGCAUGAUGCUGCCUCAACCAUGCUUCACCGUAGGGAUGGUAUUGGCCAGGUGAUGAGCGGUGCCUGGUUUCCUCCAGAUGUAACGCUUGACAUUCAGGCCAUAAGUUCAAUCUUGGUUUCAUCAGACCAAAGAAUCUUGUUUCCAUCGUCUGAGAGCCUUUAGGCGUCUUUUGGCAAACUCCAAGCGGGCUGUCGUGCCUUUUUACUGAGGAGUGGCUUCUGUCUGGCCACUCUAUAAAGGUGGAGUGCUGCAGAGAUAGUUGUCCUUCUGGAAGGUUCUCCCAUUUCCACAGAGGAACUGUGGUGCUCUGACAGUGACAAUUGGAUUCUUGGUCACCUCCCUGAGCAAGGCCCUUCUCCCCCGAUUGCUCAGUUUGACUGGGCGUGCCAGCUCUAGGAAGAGUCUUGGUGGUUCCAAAAUUCUUCCAUUUAAGAAUGGAGGCCACUGUGUUCUUGGGGAUCUUCAACAUUGCAGAAACGUUUUGAUACCCUUCUCCAGAUGUGUGCCCGACAUUAUCCUGUCUCUGAGGCAAUUCCUUCGACCCCAUGGCUUGGUUUUUGCUCUGACGUGCACUGUCAACUGUGAGACCUUAUAUAGAUAGGUGUGUGUCUUUGCAAAUCAUGUCCAAUCAAUUAAAUUUACCACAGGUGGACUCCAAUCAUGUUGUAGAAACAGUUCAAGGAUGAUCAAUGGAAACAGGAUGCACCUGAGCUCAUUUUCGAGUCUCAUAGCAAAUGGUCUGAAUAUUUUCGUAAAUCCGGUAUUUCUGUUUUUUAUACAUUUGCAAACAUUUCUAAAAACCUGUUUUCACAUUGUCAUUGUGGGGUUUGGGUGUAGAUUGAUGGGGGUGAUAGAAUAACGCUGUAACGUAACAAUGUGGAAAAGGGGAAGGGGUCUGAAUACUUUCCGAAUGCACUGUAUAUUUAGUUAGGACUACUUGUAUAAUAUUAUUCAAAUUCUAGACAUUCAGUUACAUAGCAUUGUUUAAAUUCUCCCCAAUGUUAAUGGGGCGCUAGCAUGGCUGUAAUAGAAUGUUGAAGUGUCAUGUCUGGUUGGGAACUAUGUUUUAUUUAAGUGUUUUAGCUUUCACAAAAUAUUUUUAUAGAUUUUAAAAGAUUCAGUUCAUAAUAUUCAAAACUAAGUUUAAUGUACAUCAUGGGCUUUCUGUUUUGUGGACAAUAAACAAGACUAUUGAAAAAAAAACGAAGGUCUAACAUAGAUUAACCCAAUAGCUGUUUUGAUUACAAUGUGAAUGGCAUUUGAAUCCGUGUAAACCGUUUUGAUUUGUUCUGUUUUGAAAAACACAUAGUUAUGCAAAUCCCAGUCAGCAAAGUCAUUAUGUUCAUCUGGCAUACAUUGUUGCAUACUAUCAAAUCCAACUUUAUUUAUAUAGCAACAUUCUUACAAAUGCUUUUCAAAGUGCUUAAAUAAAAUUAAAGGUGGAAAGAUCAAACGUUUCUAUGCAAAUAUAAAAUCAAGAUAGACAUUAAGAGUAAAAUAGCAGUGGAUAGGAAAUUGAAUGCAGAAAAAGUGGAUAAAAGUUCCUAAUAUUGGUAAGACAAAUAAAAGCACUUUAGUUAAUAGCACGGAUAAAAUGGUAUGUCUUAAGACAAAUCUUAAGAAUCAACAGUUUGAGGACCUAAGAUCCGGCAGGCCAUUCCAAAGACCAGGACCGUAGUGUCUGAAGGCAGCCUCACCAAAAGUUUUGGUUCUGACAUUUGGAAUGACUAAAAGACCAGUGCCAGAAGAUAUAUCAGACAUUAAAAGCAUAUCAGACAUGUAUUCGGGUGCAAGGCCAUGUAGUGCUUUAUAAAUCAAUAUAGAUUGUGUUUAGGCUGAUAUAAAACUGACAAAA